RNAcentral lists this ribosomal RNA (253 nucleotides) under uncultured bacterium. RNAcentral's name for it is "partial 16S ribosomal RNA". It matches the Rfam family "Bacterial small subunit ribosomal RNA", at positions 524 to 776 of the family's 1533-position model. The record is from RNAcentral.
UACGUAGGGUGCAAGCGUUGUCCGGAAUUAUUGGGCGUAAAGAGCUCGUAGGCGGUCUGUCGCGUCUGCUGUGAAAACUCAGGGCUUAACCCUGAGCUUGCAGUGGGUACGGGCAGACUAGAGUGCGGUAGGGGAGACUGGAAUUCCUGGUGUAGCGGUGAAAUGCGCAGAUAUCAGGAGGAACACCGGUGGCGAAGGCGAGUCUCUGGGCCGUAACUGACGCUGAGGAGCGAAAGCAUGGGGAGCAAACAGG